GAUGAACGCUGGCGGCGUGCCUAAUACAUGCAAGUCGAGCGAACGGACGAGAAGCUUGCUCCUCUGAUGUUAGCGGCGGACGGGUGAGUAACACGUGGAUAACCUACCUAUAAGACUGGGAUAACUUCGGGAAACCGGAGCUAAUACCGGAUAAUAUUUUGAACCGCAUGGUUCAAAAGUGAAAGACGGUUUUGCUGUCACUUAUAGAUGGAUCCGCGCCGCAUUAGCUAGUUGGUAAGGUAACGGCUUACCAAGGCAACGAUGCGUAGCCGACCUGAGAGGGUGAUCGGCCACACUGGAACUGAGACACGGUCCAGACUCCUACGGGAGGCAGCAGUAGGGAAUCUUCCGCAAUGGGCGAAAGCCUGACGGAGCAACGCCGCGUGAGUGAUGAAGGUCUUCGGAUCGUAAAACUCUGUUAUUAGGGAAGAACAUAUGUGUAAGUAACUGUGCACAUCUUGACGGUACCUAAUCAGAAAGCCACGGCUAACUACGUG
RNAcentral lists this ribosomal RNA (497 nucleotides) under uncultured bacterium. Its description in RNAcentral is "partial 16S ribosomal RNA". It matches the Rfam family "Bacterial small subunit ribosomal RNA", at positions 28 to 507 of the family's 1533-position model. The record is from RNAcentral.